GCGCAGCAGUCGAGAAUACUUUACAAUGCGGGAAACCGUGAUAAGGGAACCUCGAGUGCUGGCGCAUAGCGUCGGCUGUCCAGAUGACCUAAAAAGCAUCUGAUAGCAAGGGCCGGGCAAGACCGGUGCCAGCCGCCGCGGUAACACCGGCGGCUCGAGUGGUGGCCACGUUUAUUGGGUCUAAAGCGUCCGUAGCCGGCUCGGCAAGUCCCCGUAGGGAAAUCUGGCGGCUCAACCGUCAGGCGUCCAGAGGAUACUGCUGGGCUUGGGGACCGGGAGAGGUGAGAGGUACCUCGA
Molecule: ribosomal RNA, 297 nt
Filed under: uncultured microorganism
Description: partial 16S ribosomal RNA
Rfam family: Archaeal small subunit ribosomal RNA
Source: RNAcentral